Molecule: ribosomal RNA, 519 nt
Filed under: uncultured bacterium
Lineage: Bacteria
Description: bacterial SSU rRNA
Rfam family: Bacterial small subunit ribosomal RNA
Source: RNAcentral
CUGGCUCAGAACGAACGCUGGCGGCGUGCUUAACACAUGCAAGUCGAACGCGAAAGGGACUUCGGUCCUGAGUAAAGUGGCGCACGGGUGAGUAACGCGUAGAUAACCUGUCUUCAUGUCUGGAAUAAUACGCCGAAAGGGGUACUAAUACCGGAUAUUCUUGCUUUUCAUAAGUUAUGCAAGCAAAGGUGGCCUCUGCAUAUGCUACUGCAUGAAGAGGGGUCUGCGUACCAUUAGCUAGUAGGUGGGGUAAUGGCCUACCUAGGCGACGAUGGUUAGCGGGUCUGAGAGGAUGAUCCGCCACACUGGCACUGGAACACGGGCCAGACUCCUACGGGAGGCAGCAGUGAGGAAUAUUGCGCAAUGGGGGAAACCCUGACGCAGCGACGCCGCGUGAGUGAGGAAGGCCUUCGGGUCGUAAAGCUCUGUCAAGAGGAAAGAAGUGUACAAUGGCUAAUACCUGUUGUAUUUGACGGUACCUCUAAAGGAAGCACCGGCUAACUCCGUGCCAGCCGCGGC